This is a long non-coding RNA of Homo sapiens (human), 2385 nucleotides long. RefSeq lists it as uncharacterized. The transcript is spliced from 6 exons. Lineage: Eukaryota; Metazoa; Chordata; Mammalia; Primates; Hominidae. The record is from RefSeq and is a predicted model, not a curated record.
GAGUCUACGGGAAGGUUAGGAGCCCUGUUCCUGAGUUGGGGGCUGGGGAGAGCAGGGAGUAUAUGUCCUGGCUGAGGGCCGGAUGUGCAUGAAUACCCAGGGCUCUGAAGGGAGGGGAAUAUGCCAGAAGGAGAGGUUGCUGGGCAGGACUAAAGCAGGAUAUUGGGUGAUUGGUCUUAGACUUGUGAGGGAGGGAAGCAGAUGAAAAAUUGUCCGUGAAAGUGCAAUUAUGCAGAAAGGCAGAAAAAGGCCAGACAGAGUGGAAACCGUGUUGGAAGGCAAAGACUUAUUGCAGGAAUACUGUAUGUUUGGCUCAAAGCUAGGUCCUGGAAACAAUCUGAAAAAAAUCCUCUACAUCCUGAGAUGUCUGCUGUCUAAAUCUUGGGGCUUGCAGAGUGGGUUCACUCUUCCGCUCUUCUGCCAUGUGAGGAUGCAGUAAGAUGACCCUCAGCAGAUGCUGGUGCCUUGAUCUUGGACUUCCCAGUCUCCAGAACUGGGAUGAAAUGCUGUGAUGGGUUGCACGCCCACAUCACCACUCUGCUGUCGGGAGAAGAGGAAGGCACGUUCCUCCCAAACACAGGGACUGAAAGCAGUUCUGAAGGCUGAAGUCCAAGACCAGGGUGGCAGCAUGGUCAGGUCCUGGCGAGGGCCAUUUUCCGAUGAGAAAACUGAAGCUCAGAGACAGAAAACGAGGUCUUCAGACUCCAGGUCCAGAGUGUCAUCCCCCACCAGGUAGGACUGCUUUCUUUAGGGCCCUGGACUCAAAAGAGCAUCUGCAGUCGGCCUUUUGGACCACACAGGACCAGAGAGCCUUGGUGAAGAGUAGGUGGUUAGGGCUGUCAGGAGCACUUUUUGGUGGGCCAGAAAAGCAGGGACAAGCACAGGUGGACCAAGGAGCUGCACUCCGAGGCCUUGGGCCAAACCUGAGGGUACUGAGAAAAAGAGAGGCCUUUGAGAAGACAGAGGUGCUCGAAUUCCCCAGGUUUGCUCCUUAAUGGAGCAUGCGAGGGUCUUUCUCACAGCCAGACCCAACCUAGUACCGAUGUGUGAAGACACCAAGUACAGAAAGCCCUUCAGUCACCAGAGAUGGCCUGACUCCGAGCUGAGGGCCAGGCUGCCAGGAAAGCCAUCUGCUCUCCCGGGAGUCCAGUGACUCAGAGAUCCAGUCUGGAAGCCCUGCUGUGGGGGCACAAGAGACCAUUCGCCCCAACAUUCCCGGCCUCUCUACGGGGCUGGUGAGUGCAAGCAGGAGGGAGUGACAGUAUUGGUGAGGAAUGAAAUUGCAGCGGCUGUGUGAUGCUGUAAAUAUUUGGUUUGAAACAGCAGAGACAUUCAAGAUAAAAGUUAAAUAGAAAUAAAAGCAGUCAGAUGUUUAUUAUAUGUUGCCAUAAAAUUCAAGAGCAGCCUAAAAAGGCAGAUCAGGAUUUGUUUAACAAAUAAGAGAGGAGAAUGAAGGAGGUAGAGGUUUGACUGUGGAAGGGUGUAUUUUGCUGGAAUCUGGACAGUGAUAGAAGCAAAGUGAGAAUGACUCGGCCCUUAGACUGGGAGAAUGAGUUGUCCUUAGGUGGCUGAGAACUGGGGGAUUUCCCCAGGUCUCAAGGCCUUAAAGGGACCCACAAGUCCCCUGGCUGUCUGCAUUUCCUGCCCGUUGCAGGGGGCAAGCCCCAAGGGGAGAACAGGGUGGAAGAUCUGGGGGAGCUAAAUUCUGGGAGCGCAGGCAAUGCGGAAGCACGGUGCACACAAGGAUGUCCGGGGAGGGGCAAUGCUGGUACUGUGAGGCUGAUGGAGCCUUUUUUUCAGUCCUGCUCCCUCUCCAUAGCCAGCUCCUCAGGCCACCAUCAGAUUUUAGGCAGGGCUCAAAUGAGGAACUGGUCCAUAGUAACACAAAAUAACCCAGCUAGAAGGGCCCUUUACAGAGCUCUGUACUUGUCUAGGGGGUGGCAAGCUUUUUCUGUAAAGGGCUAGCCAGCAAAUAUUCUCCAUUUUCUGAGUCAUUCUGUCUCUGUUGCAACCGCUUUGCUCUUGCAGCAUGACAGCCCCCAUACACGAUCUGUAAAUAAAUGGACAAGGCUGGGUUCCAAUAAAACUUUAUUUAAAAAAGCAGGCUGGCCAGGCACAGUGGCUCACGCCUGUAAUCCCAGCACUUUGGGAGGCCGAGGCAGGUGGAUCACCUGAGGUCAGGAGUUCAAGACCAGCCUGGCCAACAUGGUGAAAACCCAUCUCUAUUAAAAAUACAAAAAUUAGCCGGGUGUGGUGGCAGGCAUCUGCAAUCUCAGCUACUCAGGAGGCUGAGGCAGGAGAAUCACUUGAACCCGGGAGGUGGAGGUUCUAGUGAGCCGAGAUUGUGCUAUUUGCACUCUAGCCUGGGUGACAGAGCGAGACUCC